This 253-nucleotide ribosomal RNA is filed under the name uncultured bacterium. RNAcentral's name for it is "partial 16S ribosomal RNA". It matches the Rfam family "Bacterial small subunit ribosomal RNA", at positions 524 to 776 of the family's 1533-position model. The record is from RNAcentral.
UACGUAGGGCGCAAGCGUUGUCCGGAAUUAUUGGGCGUAAAGAGCUCGUAGGCGGUCUGUCGCGUCGGAUGUGAAAGCCCGGGGCUUAACCCCGGGUCUGCAUUCGAUACGGGCAGACUAGAGUGUGGUAGGGGAGAUCGGAAUUCCUGGUGUAGCGGUGAAAUGCGCAGAUAUCAGGAAGAACACCCGUGGCUAAGGCGGUUCUCUAGUACGGUACUGACGCUGAGACGCGAAAGCGUGGGGAGCGAACAGG